Molecule: small RNA, 474 nt
Filed under: Pongo abelii (Sumatran orangutan)
Lineage: Eukaryota; Metazoa; Chordata; Mammalia; Primates; Hominidae
Description: retained intron
Source: RNAcentral
GCUAUUUGGUGUCUUACAUGGGAAUUGUAUUAUAAUCUUGACUAUUCUUCUAGGUGCCUUAUGCCUCUGGCAUGCCCAUCAAGAAAAUAGGCCAUAGAAGUGUUGAUUCCUCAGGAGAGACAACAUAUAAAAAGACAACCUCAUCAGCCUUGAAAGGUGCCAUCCAGUUAGGCAUUACCCACACUGUGGGGAGCCUGAGUACCAAACCAGAGCGUGAUGUCCUCAUGCAAGAUUUCUACGUGGUAGAGAGUAUCUUCUUUCCCAGUGAAGGGAGCAACCUGACCCCUGCUCAUCACUACAAUGACUUUCGUUUCAAGACCUAUGCACCUGUUGCCUUCCGCUACUUCCGGGAGCUAUUUGGUAUCCGGCCCGAUGAUUACUUGUAUUCCCUCUGCAGUGAGCCGCUGAUUGAACUCUGUAGCUCUGGGGCUAGUGGUUCCCUGUUCUAUGUGUCCAGCGACGAUGAGUUCAUUA